RNAcentral lists this ribosomal RNA (500 nucleotides) under uncultured bacterium. Its description in RNAcentral is "partial 16S ribosomal RNA". It matches the Rfam family "Bacterial small subunit ribosomal RNA", at positions 28 to 507 of the family's 1533-position model. The record is from RNAcentral.
GACGAACGCUGGCGGCGUGCUUAACACAUGCAAGUCGAACGGGUCUGCCCUGUUUUUUGCGGGGUGGGUCAGUGGCGAACGGGUGAGUAACACGUGAGUAACCUUCCCCUCACUUCUGGAUAACCGCUUGAAAGGGUGGCUAAUACGGGGUGUUCUGGCUGUGCCGCAUGGUGUGGCUGGGAAAGAUUCACUUUUGUGGUGUUUUGGUGGGGGAUGGGCUCGCGGCCUAUCAGCUUGUUGGUGGGGUGAUGGCCGGCAAAGGCUAUGACGGGUAGCCGGCCUGGGAGGGUCGGCGGUCACACUGGGGCGGAGAGACCGCGCAGACUCCGGGGGGAGGCAGCAGGGGGGGGUAUGGCACAAUGGGCGGAAGGCUGAUGCAGCGACGUCGCGGGAGGGAUGGAGGCCUUCGGGUUGUGAACCUCUUUCGGCGGUGAAGAAGGUCCUGCUCUUCGUGGUGGGGUUGACGGUAGCCGGGUUAUGAAGCGCCGGCUAACUACGUG